GACGAGGGGUCCUAGCGUUGUUCGGAAUCAUUGGGCGUAAAGAGUAUGUAGGCGGCUUUUCAAGUCAGAUGUGAAAGCCCACGGCUUAACCGUGGAAAUGCAUUUGAAACUGCUAAGCUUGAGUGCGAAAGAGGAUGGUAGAAUUCCAGGUGUAGUGGUGAAAUACGUAGAUAUCUGGAGGAAUACCGGAGGCGAAGGCGGCCAUCUGGUUCGCUACUGACGCUGAGAUACGAAAGCGUGGGGAUCAAACAGG
Molecule: ribosomal RNA, 253 nt
Filed under: uncultured bacterium
Lineage: Bacteria
Description: partial 16S ribosomal RNA
Rfam family: Bacterial small subunit ribosomal RNA
Source: RNAcentral